This 253-nucleotide ribosomal RNA is filed under the name uncultured bacterium. RNAcentral's name for it is "partial 16S ribosomal RNA". It matches the Rfam family "Bacterial small subunit ribosomal RNA", at positions 524 to 776 of the family's 1533-position model. The record is from RNAcentral.
UACGGAGGGUGCGAGCGUUAUCCGGAUUCACUGGGUUUAAAGGGUACGUAGGUGGGCAGGUAAGUCAGUGGUGAAAUCUCCGGGCUUAACCCGGAAACUGCCAUUGAUACUAUCAGUCUUGAAUACCGUGGAGGUAAGCGGAAUAUGUCAUGUAGCGGUGAAAUGCUUAGAUAUGACAUAGAACACCAAUUGCGAAGGCAGCUUACUACCCGAAUAUUGACACUGAGGCACGAAAGCGUGGGGAUCAAACAGG